Molecule: ribosomal RNA, 253 nt
Filed under: uncultured bacterium
Lineage: Bacteria
Description: partial 16S ribosomal RNA
Rfam family: Bacterial small subunit ribosomal RNA
Source: RNAcentral
GACGUAGGGCGCGAGCGUUGUCCGGAUUUAUUGGGCGUAAAGCGCGUGUAGGCGGCCCGGUAAGUCCGCUGUGAAAGUCGAGGGCUCAACCCUCGAAUGCCGGUGGAUACUGUCGGGCUAGAGUACGGAAGAGGCGAGUGGAAUUCCUGGUGUAGCGGUGAAAUUCGUAGAUAUUAGGAAGAACACCAGUGGCGAAGGCGGCUCACUGGUCCGGUACUGACGCUGAGGUGCGAAAGCGUGGGGAGCAAACAGG